AUUCUGCCCAAGCGGGGAAGGAUGAGAAGCUUCGACCAGGGUUCGACUCGAGCGCCAGCGAGAGAGCGUGGCCGCAGGCAACGACCCGAAGGGCGAAGCGCGCAGCGCUGAGUAAUCCUUCCCCCACCACCA
RNAcentral lists this small RNA (132 nucleotides) under Escherichia coli. Its description in RNAcentral is "RtT sRNA". It matches the Rfam family "RtT RNA". Rfam says of the family: This family represents a bacterial cis-regulatory element known as RtT RNA. The exact function of RtT is unknown although it is thought that it may be involved in changing the cellular response in relation to amino acid starvation. Lineage: Bacteria; Pseudomonadati; Pseudomonadota; Gammaproteobacteria; Enterobacterales; Enterobacteriaceae. The record is from RNAcentral. RNAcentral also lists the same sequence under 2 other names.